Molecule: non-coding RNA, 407 nt
Organism: Rattus norvegicus (Norway rat)
Lineage: Eukaryota; Metazoa; Chordata; Mammalia; Rodentia; Muridae
Source: RefSeq, a predicted model, not a curated record
CUGUUACAACAAAUCAUUUCCUUUGAGCAGUUGUAAUUGACUAUAUGUACAGUUCGCUGUCACUGGAGACCAUUUACAUCAAGCAAGUAACAGAACCACAUUAGUUAUUCCAGGAGUAAGAGGGUUAGCUCUUCCCUUUGUGACCUUACAAAUACCUAGGAGGAUGUCGCCAUAGAAACCGGCAGAAUAACUGAUGAACAUGGGGGUCCAACGCUACCUGGAUGCAGUAGCCUUCUUUUGGGAGCUGAAAGGAGGACAACGAACACAGUGGUCUCAAGUUGGAAUGACCAUGGAGAUGAACGAUUUUCAAUUUCAUUUUCUGACCAGUCAAUUAGUAAAUCCACUUUCUUCAUACCUGUCCUACUAAAGCCAUCAUACCAAAAUUAUACUCAGUCUUUAAAGAAUAA